CCUACGGGGGGCAGCAGUGGGGAAUCUUAGACAAUGGGCGCAAGCCUGAUCUAGCCAUGCCGCGUGAUCGAUGAAGGCCUUAGGGUUGUAAAGAUCUUUCAGUGGGGAAGAUAAUGACGGUACCCACAGAAGAAGCCCCGGCUAACUCCGUGCCAGCAGCCGCGGUAAUACGGAGGGGGCUAGCGUUAUUCGGAAUUACUGGGCGUAAAGCGCACGUAGGCGGAUUAACAAGUCAGAGGUGAAAUCCCAGGGCUCAACCUUGGAACUGCCUUUGAAACUGUUUCUCUUGAGGUCGUGAGAGGUGAGUGGAAUUCCGAGUGUAGAGGUGAAAUUCGUAGAUAUUCGGAGGAACACCAGUGGCGAAGGCGGCUCACUGGCACGAUACUGACGCUGAGGUGCGAAAGCGUGGGGAGCAAACAGGAUUAGAUACCCGAGUAGUC
RNAcentral lists this ribosomal RNA (440 nucleotides) under uncultured bacterium. RNAcentral describes it as "bacterial SSU rRNA". It matches the Rfam family "Bacterial small subunit ribosomal RNA", at positions 338 to 795 of the family's 1533-position model. The record is from RNAcentral.